UACGUAGGGUGCGAGCGUUGUCCGGAAUUAUUGGGCGUAAAGGGCUCGUAGGCGGUCUGUUGCGUCAGGAGUGAAAACUCGGGGCUUAACCCCGAGCCUGCUUCUGAUACGGGCAGACUAGAGGUAUGCAGGGGAGAACGGAAUUCCUGGUGUAGCGGUGAAAUGCGCAGAUAUCAGGAGGAACACCUAUGGCGAAGGCAGCUCUCUGGGACGGUACUGACGCUGAGACGCGAAAGCGUGGGGAGCGAACAGG
RNAcentral lists this ribosomal RNA (253 nucleotides) under uncultured bacterium. RNAcentral's name for it is "partial 16S ribosomal RNA". It matches the Rfam family "Bacterial small subunit ribosomal RNA", at positions 524 to 776 of the family's 1533-position model. The record is from RNAcentral.